GGUGAGGUGGGUGAGUGGCUGAAACCAACAGUUUGCUAAACUGUCGUACUGGGAAACCGGUACCGGGGGUUCGAAUCCCCCCCUCACCG
Molecule: transfer RNA, 89 nt
Filed under: Pseudomonadota bacterium
Lineage: Bacteria; Pseudomonadati; Pseudomonadota
Also listed under: 2 other names
Description: tRNA-Ser
Rfam family: tRNA
About the family: Transfer RNA (tRNA) molecules are approximately 80 nucleotides in length.
Source: RNAcentral